Molecule: non-coding RNA, 46 nt
Filed under: Schistosoma curassoni
Lineage: Eukaryota; Metazoa; Platyhelminthes; Trematoda; Strigeidida; Schistosomatidae
Source: RNAcentral
GCACUACAGAAGAGUCUCACGAUAGGACGAAACGGCCGUCCAGUGU